AUGUAGUGGGUUUGACCCCCACUACUCUCAAUUCAUUUUUCUUUGCUAAUUGUAGUGGUGCGCCACUGACCAGUGGGCCACAGGGCCCACCUGUCAUGCACUAGGGGCCCUGGUGUCUAUGACCAGUGGGGCCCCAUGUUAGUUUGUGUUUGUUUUACUUGGUGCUAGGAGCCUUUCCAUCUUAGGUAUUAGUUCAUUUAGGGAAAAGGCCAGAUUUGGCAUAUUCCAUAUAGCUAGAGUGAUGUUCUUUUGGGCUGCUUCAUAGGUAAAUAUGGUAGUGGCUGAACCCCUCUACAACUUGGUACAUAUUUGUUGUUCAUAGGUUUUUGCAUGUUAUUAUUACACCUUGUCAAAGUGGGCACUUGAGUGAAAAUGACAGUGUUGAGAAAAACUGUGAAUUUCACUAAAGUCUGUGAUAUUUUGUCCAAGUUAGAGGCUGUAUAUC
RNAcentral lists this long non-coding RNA (445 nucleotides) under Hordeum vulgare. RNAcentral describes it as "long non-coding RNA (HVUL_LNC013137)". Lineage: Eukaryota; Viridiplantae; Streptophyta; Magnoliopsida; Poales; Poaceae. The record is from RNAcentral.